This 464-nucleotide ribosomal RNA is filed under the name Vreelandella stevensii. RNAcentral describes it as "partial 16S ribosomal RNA". It matches the Rfam family "Bacterial small subunit ribosomal RNA", at positions 339 to 795 of the family's 1533-position model. The record is from RNAcentral. Lineage: Bacteria; Pseudomonadati; Pseudomonadota; Gammaproteobacteria; Oceanospirillales; Halomonadaceae.
CUACGGUAGGCUGCAGUGGGGAAUAUUGGACAAUGGGCGAAAGCCUGAUCCAGCCAUGCCGCGUGUGUGAAGAAGGCCUUCGGGUUGUAAAGCACUUUCAGUGGGGAAGAAAGCCUUGGGGCUAAUACCCUCGAGGAAGGACAUCACCCACAGAAGAAGCACCGGCUAACUCCGUGCCAGCAGCCGCGGUAAUACGAAGGGUGCGAGCGUUAAUCGGAAUUACUGGGCGUAAAGCGCGCGUAGGCGGUCUGAUAAGCCGGUUGUGAAAGCCCCGGGCUCAACCUGGGAACGGCAUCCGGAACUGUCAGGCUAGAGUGCAGGAGAGGAAGGUAGAAUUCCCGGUGUAGCGGUGAAAUGCGUAGAGAUCGGGAGGAAUACCAGUGGCGAAGGCGGCCUUCUGGACUGACACUGACGCUGAGGUGCGAAAGCGUGGGUAGCAAACAGGAUUAGAUACCCUAGUAGUC